RNAcentral lists this ribosomal RNA (468 nucleotides) under uncultured bacterium. RNAcentral's name for it is "partial 16S ribosomal RNA". It matches the Rfam family "Bacterial small subunit ribosomal RNA", at positions 28 to 507 of the family's 1533-position model. The record is from RNAcentral.
GACGAACGCUGGCGGCGUGCUUAACACAUGCAAGUCGAACGGAAAGGCCCUGCUUUUGUGGGGUGCUCGAGUGGCGAACGGGUGAGUAACACGUGUGUAACCUGCCCUUGACUUUGGGAUAACUUCAGGAAACUGGGGCUAAUACCGGAUAGGAGCUCCUGCUGCAUGGUGGGGUUUGGUCAGUUUCGGCGGUUGGGGAUGGACUCGCGGCUUAUCAGCUUGUUUGUGGGGUAGUGGCUUACCAAGGCUUUGACGGGUAGCCGGCCUGAGAGGGUGACCGGCCACAUUGGGACUGAGAUACGGCCCAGACUCCAACGGGAGGCAGCAGUGGGGAAUAGUGAACAAUGGGCGGAAGCCUGAUGCAGCAAAGCAGCGUGCGGGAUGACGGCCUUCGGGUUGUAAACCGCUUUCGACUGUGACGAAGAGUGAGUGACGGUAAUGGGUAAAGAAGCACCGGCUAACUACGUG